RNAcentral lists this microRNA precursor (111 nucleotides) under Paramuricea clavata. The record is from RNAcentral. Lineage: Eukaryota; Metazoa; Cnidaria; Anthozoa; Malacalcyonacea; Plexauridae.
GACGUCGAUAUUCGACGUCAUAAACACGAGCAACUUUGGUGUUUAUGACGUCGAUAUUCGACGUCAUAAACACGAGCAACUUUGGUGUUUAUGACGUCGAUAUUCGACGUC